RNAcentral lists this non-coding RNA (31 nucleotides) under Homo sapiens (human). The record is from RNAcentral. Lineage: Eukaryota; Metazoa; Chordata; Mammalia; Primates; Hominidae.
UGGGUCUACAGGCACAACUGCUGCCUCACAA